This 312-nucleotide unclassified non-coding RNA is filed under the name uncultured fungus. RNAcentral describes it as "partial contains small subunit ribosomal RNA, internal transcribed spacer 1, and 5.8S ribosomal RNA". The stretch from base 1 to 73 matches the Rfam family "Eukaryotic small subunit ribosomal RNA", at positions 1759 to 1831 of the family's 1831-position model. The record is from RNAcentral. Lineage: Eukaryota; Fungi.
ACAAACUUGGUCAUUUAGAGGAAGUAAAAGUCGUAACAAGGUUUCCGUAGGUGAACCUGCGGAAGGAUCAUUACUGAAGUGCUUGGAGAUGUUGCUGGCUUUCCUUCCUGGAGGGCAACGUGCACUCUUCCAACUCCUCACAAUUUCACACACCCCUUUUGUGCACUCUUUGUAGGGUCCCUCACAGUAGGAUGGCUCUAUGUCUUUUUUGUCACUUUUUACGCAUAUGAAUGGCAUGUGUCGCGAUAAAAUAAAAAUGAAACAACUUUCAACAAUGGAUCUCUUGGCUCUCGCAUCGAUGAAGAACGCAGC